Molecule: unclassified non-coding RNA, 777 nt
Filed under: Hevea brasiliensis (rubber tree)
Lineage: Eukaryota; Viridiplantae; Streptophyta; Magnoliopsida; Malpighiales; Euphorbiaceae
Source: RNAcentral
AAAAGGUAUUAUAAGUUCUGAACUUUUUUCCUCUUAGAGCAUAUAUGGUGCUCCAUCUUGUGAUCUGCAUAUAUGUAUGGGUGAUUCUGUCCAAAUAUGCAAUUUUCAUGUGAUGACUGUUUCACAAUGUUGUAUGUGACAAGUUAAUUUUCAUGAGCUUUGUAACUUUUUUUAAUAUUAUAAUUAAAAACAAAUUCAUGAAUGAUUUCCUUGAAAUUGUUUUUUUCCCCUAGCAGGUAAUAAUUGCUUUUGUUGUGAAUUGUGAUCUUUCAUUGGUUAGCGUUUGUUUUGUCUUUACCAUUAUAUUUAGAAUUCUUUUGGCAUUAUGGUGGAAAUUUGUCUUCAGUUCAUUUUCUUUCUUUUUUCUAUAUGCAAAAUUCUGUUUAGUUUGUGGUUUAAGUUGCUUAUCCAUAUUGCUCAAGUUGCCUGUCAAUUCUUGAAUGUCCAAAUGAGAUGAUUCUAUCAAACUAAUAUGUUGUGAGUUGUCACAUAGAGCUUACUUUUUUGUCUCUUUUUUUAUUUUUUUAUGGGAUACUUGAUUGCUCAAUUUUGGUGUCAUUUGGUGUAUAUGGUAUAUAUCUCAUUAUCUCUUAGGUUCUGUGCCAAUUACAUACAGACUGUUUAAUGAUUGUGUUCAUGUUACAUGUACACAUUAUUCGAUCUAUAGUUGAGGACAAUUUGAUGGGUAUAUCUUUCUUUAGCAUCUGGUUCCUAAUUCUGUCGGUGUACUUUGUCAUUUCUUGCAUGAAAUCCAGUAUGGGCUUGAUACUUCAGAGU